UCUGAUUGUUUCAUACAUGUCUAUGUACGCUAGUGCUUGCCGCUGGGUUGGACUUAUUCCUACUCCGGCGAGGUGUAACACAGCAAAGGCGUAACCCGGGAUGCUCAGAUUGGCAUUUGCGUCGUUACAUUGCCCCCCACUUAGCAAUGGACGUCCUCGGCCAUUAUUUCGAGCACAGGAGCCAUCCCACCUCGCGCCAGUGCGCUGGUUUAUCCAUUACACCAUGAAAUCGCCAAUUUGCGACUUGCUGGUUGCCAGAAUCGAACCGCCGACCCGAAGUUUAUUUCGGAAUUCGUGCGGUCCCGUCUCGAUACCAUUGUAACACAGCAAAGGCGUAACCCGGGAUGCUCAGAUUGGCAUUUGCGUCGUUACACGAGGACAGCCAACACCACGCUUCCGCUUAUCCAGUCGACCCGCCAGGUGAGCAACUGCUACAGCCACGCAGAAUGUACAACCGGGUGUUGGCUGACCGCUCAUGCUUUUUGGGGUCGGGCGGCCAGGCAGCCUCUCGCU
This 513-nucleotide long non-coding RNA is filed under the name Volvox carteri. Its description in RNAcentral is "long non-coding RNA (VCAR_LNC003817)". The record is from RNAcentral. Lineage: Eukaryota; Viridiplantae; Chlorophyta; Chlorophyceae; Chlamydomonadales; Volvocaceae.